AUUGAACGCUGGCGGCAGGCCUAACACAUGCAAGUCGAGCGGAUGAAGGGAGCUUGCUCCUGGAUUCAGCGGCGGACGGGUGAGUAAUGCCUAGGAAUCUGCCUGGUAGUGGGGGAUAACGUCCGGAAACGGGCGCUAAUACCGCAUACGUCCUGAGGGAGAAAGGGGGGGAUCUUCGGACCUCACGCUAUCAGAUGAGCCUAUGUCGGAUUAGCUAGUUGGUGGGGUAAAGGCCUACCAAGGCGACGAUCCGUAACUGGUCUGAGAGGAUGAUCAGUCACACUGGAACUGAGACACGGUCCAGACUCCUACGGGAGGCAGCAGUGGGGAAUAUUGGACAAUGGGCGAAAGCCUGAUCCAGCCAUGCCGCGUGUGUGAAGAAGGUCUUCGGAUUGUAAAGCACUUUAAGUUGGGAGGAAGGGCAGUAAGUUAAUACCUUGCUGUUUUGACGUUACCAACAGAAUAAGCACCGGCUAACUUCGUG
This 484-nucleotide ribosomal RNA is filed under the name uncultured bacterium. Its description in RNAcentral is "partial 16S ribosomal RNA". It matches the Rfam family "Bacterial small subunit ribosomal RNA", at positions 30 to 507 of the family's 1533-position model. The record is from RNAcentral.